This is a long non-coding RNA of Carassius gibelio (silver crucian carp), 708 nucleotides long. RefSeq lists it as uncharacterized. The transcript has 4 exons. Lineage: Eukaryota; Metazoa; Chordata; Actinopteri; Cypriniformes; Cyprinidae. The record is from RefSeq and is a predicted model, not a curated record.
ACAGAAUCCAGUCAGCCCAUAGUUUUUAGUCUUUAAUGACAGCGACGUGACAUUUCUUUUUACUUCUGUAUUGUUGUAAGUAAAAUAUCGUAUUAAUAUCAUAAUCGCUACAUUAUGUUAAUCGACUAACCCUCGCGUCAAAACUGCUCGUCAAAACCACCUUUUUACUACGGAGGAGACGACUCGCGCCAUGUCCCGCCGACUGGAAUUCUAGCACGAUUCCUGAGCGCGGUGAAAAGAAGAUGGACCAUUUUCUGUGUUCACCAUUCAGGCUGAAGACUCUACCAUUGCAUUCACUGCAGAAGGCUAAAUCCUCAUUUGGAUUCUUCCUCUCUAUGGAUCUCAUCAUCUUUGGACAGAAUUUAGGAUAUAUGCAGAAAUGCUGAUAACCAAGCGUCCGUUGACCGUCCAGGUCAUGGUGGAUGGGGGCUGAUUUGUGCUGCAGUUGAACUGAGCCUUCGAACCACGGAGAACCGCUGCAUUCAGAGGCUGUAGCUGCGCCUGACUGGAGGUCACUGCAGGCGACACACAAGUAACAAAUUAUUCCAAACAGAUAGAUCUAGUUAUUCAAAGCAUGGUUUCUUGUUUUUUUUUUCUCUCAUUGUAAAUCAUGUUUAAAGUAAAUGAGCAUUAUGGAAUAUUUUGGGGUAUAUCCCCCCCACCCCCGCAAUAUAUUUUGCCCAGAUAGGUUUUGGGUGUUUUUGUUCG